RNAcentral lists this ribosomal RNA (377 nucleotides) under uncultured bacterium. RNAcentral describes it as "bacterial SSU rRNA". It matches the Rfam family "Bacterial small subunit ribosomal RNA", at positions 521 to 896 of the family's 1533-position model. The record is from RNAcentral.
UAAGACAGAGGGUGCAAGCGUUGUUCGGAAUUACUGGGCGUAAAGCGCGCGUAGGUGGUUUUGUGUGUCUGGCGUGAAAUCCCUUGGCUCAACCAAGGAAGUGCACCAGAAACUGCAGAACUCGAGUUCGGGAGAGGAUGGUGGAAUUCUCAAUGUAGAGGUGAAAUUCGUAGAUAUUGGGAGGAACACCGGUGGCGAAGGCGACCAUCUGGACCGACACUGACACUGAUGUGCGAAAGCGUGGGUAGCAAACAGGAUUAGAUACCCUGGUAGUCCACGCCGUAAACGAUGAUAACUAGGUGUAGGGGGUAUUGACCCCCUCUGUACCGAAGCUAACGCAUUAAGUUAUCCGCCUGGGGAGUACGGUCGCAAGAUUA